RNAcentral lists this ribosomal RNA (292 nucleotides) under uncultured Thermovirga sp. Its description in RNAcentral is "partial 16S ribosomal RNA". It matches the Rfam family "Bacterial small subunit ribosomal RNA", at positions 1091 to 1382 of the family's 1533-position model. Lineage: Bacteria; Thermotogati; Synergistota; Synergistia; Synergistales; Thermovirgaceae. The record is from RNAcentral.
AACGAGCGCAACCCUGCAUUCAGUUGCCAUCGGUAAGCCGGGCACUCUGGAUGGACUGCCGGCGACAAGCCGGAGGAAGGUGGGGAUGACGUCAAGUCAUCAUGGCCCUUAUGUCCAGGGCGACACACGUGCUACAAUGGCCGGCACAACGGGAAGCGAAGGGCGACCCUGAGCGGAUCCCCAUAAAAAGCCGGUCCCAGUUCGGAUUGCAGUCUGCAACUCGACUGCAUGAAGUUGGAAUCGCUAGUAAUCGUGGAUCAGCCAAGCCGCGGUGAAUACGUUCCCGGGCCUU